RNAcentral lists this ribosomal RNA (207 nucleotides) under uncultured bacterium. RNAcentral describes it as "partial 16S ribosomal RNA". It matches the Rfam family "Bacterial small subunit ribosomal RNA", at positions 568 to 774 of the family's 1533-position model. The record is from RNAcentral.
UGCGUAGGUGGCUGGGUAAGUCAGGUGUGAAAUCUCGGAGCUCAACUCCGAAACUGCACUUGAUACUGCCUGGCUCGAGUACUGGAGAGGAGAUUGGAAUUUACGGUGUAGCAGUGAAAUGCGUAGAUAUCGUAAGGAAGACCAGUGGCGAAGGCGAAUCUCUGGACAGUUACUGACACUGAGGCACGAAGGCCAGGGGAGCAAACG